RNAcentral lists this ribosomal RNA (675 nucleotides) under Salmonella enterica subsp. enterica serovar Infantis. RNAcentral's name for it is "partial 23S ribosomal RNA". It matches the Rfam family "Bacterial large subunit ribosomal RNA", at positions 2128 to 2802 of the family's 2925-position model. Lineage: Bacteria; Pseudomonadati; Pseudomonadota; Gammaproteobacteria; Enterobacterales; Enterobacteriaceae. The record is from RNAcentral. RNAcentral also lists the same sequence under 4 other names.
GCCUUGAUGUGUAGGAUAGGUGGGAGGCUUUGAAGUGUGGACGCCAGUCUGCAUGGAGCCGACCUUGAAAUACCACCCUUUAAUGUUUGAUGUUCUAACGUGGACCCGUAAUCCGGGUUGCGGACAGUGUCUGGUGGGUAGUUUGACUGGGGCGGUCUCCUCCUAAAGAGUAACGGAGGAGCACGAAGGUUGGCUAAUCCUGGUCGGACAUCAGGAGGUUAGUGCAAUGGCAUAAGCCAGCUUGACUGCGAGCGUGACGGCGCGAGCAGGUGCGAAAGCAGGUCAUAGUGAUCCGGUGGUUCUGAAUGGAAGGGCCAUCGCUCAACGGAUAAAAGGUACUCCGGGGAUAACAGGCUGAUACCGCCCAAGAGUUCAUAUCGACGGCGGUGUUUGGCACCUCGAUGUCGGCUCAUCACAUCCUGGGGCUGAAGUAGGUCCCAAGGGUAUGGCUGUUCGCCAUUUAAAGUGGUACGCGAGCUGGGUUUAGAACGUCGUGAGACAGUUCGGUCCCUAUCUGCCGUGGGCGCUGGAGAACUGAGGGGGGCUGCUCCUAGUACGAGAGGACCGGAGUGGACGCAUCACUGGUGUUCGGGUUGUCAUGCCAAUGGCACUGCCCGGUAGCUAAAUGCGGAAGAGAUAAGUGCUGAAAGCAUCUAAGCACGAAACUUGCCCCGA